Molecule: transfer RNA, 73 nt
Filed under: Lachnospiraceae bacterium
Lineage: Bacteria; Bacillati; Bacillota; Clostridia; Lachnospirales; Lachnospiraceae
Description: tRNA-Asn
Rfam family: tRNA
About the family: Transfer RNA (tRNA) molecules are approximately 80 nucleotides in length. Their secondary structure includes four short double-helical elements and three loops (D, anti-codon, and T loops).
Source: RNAcentral
UGGCACAUAGUUCAGUUUGUAGAACACCUGACUGUUAAUCAGGAAGUCGUAGGUUCAAGUCCUACUGUGUCAG